CGUUUUAUCCUCUCUUGAGAAUAGAACUACUUGCUCAACCUCCUGACUCCGUUAUAUGAGUCUGUCGGCUUCCAAGACAACAUAAAUGAUCCUCAUCUGGAGCAGUUAAAGCGGGUCAAGGCACUGACGUGGGCCUGCAACCUAGAGUACCAGGACUGUGUCAACAACUCAGUUUCACUUUAUCAAAAGUGGAUGGAGAACCCAUCUAACCGCAGCAUUGUGUCCCCUAACUUGAAGAGCAUAGUGUACUGCACCGCUAUUGCUGCUGGUGAUGAGGAGGAGUGGAACUUUGGCUGGAACAGUACCUCAACUCCAACGUUGGCUCUGACAAAGAAGUAAUACUUAGUUCACUAGUUGCUCUAAGAAGAUCUGGAUAUUGUCUCGGUACCUUGAUAUGGCUUUCUCAAAUAAUAGCGGUAUGAGGAACAGGAUGCACCUAUAGCCUUCGUCGCUGUGGCCAGAAACAGUGUAGGCCACUACCUAACCUGGAACUAUGUUAGGGAUAACUGGCAGAAAAUUACGGACUUUUUUGGGUCUGGUAUAUUCGUCCUCUCCAACAUCAUUGAGAAAGCUACUGAGACCUUAAACACACACCUGGAAAUGAAGGAGUUGAAGCUGUUCAAGGAAAGGCACGCGGGCGAAUUCGGACCAGCAAAACGGACAGUUGAUCAGUCUAUUGAAGGAACUACUAUUAACAUUGCCUGGAUGACCAACAACUCCAAGAUUAUUGUUCAGUGGCUCAGUGACCAUGGUUAUUCCACCCAGCUCAAUAAUCAGUCAACUCUGCUGCCUGGCUCCAUUUAGCAACAUCCCUAAAAGAAGAAAAGUGGUUGCUUCAGUUCGGUAAUCAUGAACUGAUAUUACAUAUAUAUCACUUAGUUUUUAGAAGAUAUAGAAAAUAUUCAGGUAUAUA
Cherax quadricarinatus is the source of this 913-nucleotide non-coding RNA. NCBI's taxonomy places the organism in Eukaryota, Metazoa, Arthropoda, Malacostraca, Decapoda, Parastacidae. The record is from RefSeq and is a predicted model, not a curated record.